Long non-coding RNA from Macadamia integrifolia, 1391 nucleotides. RefSeq lists it as uncharacterized. The transcript has 3 exons. The record is from RefSeq and is a predicted model, not a curated record. NCBI's taxonomy places the organism in Eukaryota, Viridiplantae, Streptophyta, Magnoliopsida, Proteales, Proteaceae.
UUUCCCUCUUCUUCGUUCCUCCUCUCUUCGUAUUUGUUCAGCGGCAUCCGAAGCCCUAAGUCAUCUCCCAAACUGAGGAAUCACUCUUAGAGAGAGAGAGAGGAGAUGGCAACUUCAGGUGUACUGGAUAUCAAUGUCUUGCUCUUUCCCGCACUUCCCUUUCUCCUCUUUCUUUGUUUCUUCUUCUUCAUUUCUUUCGAUUCAAUGUGAUUUGUGAAUAUUUUGAGUUGUUAAUUUCUGCUGAAUACUUGUUUUGUUUGGGUGAAAAUUAAAAAUUCUACUGUUCUAUGUAAACAAUUAAGGGAAUGUCCAGAGAAGAGAAGGUGGAAGAGAAGAAAAGGAUAUAGUUGUGAAUACCAUAGGACGAUGACUUCGGCUUCGGAUGCCGAGGAGAUGGUGGAGAGGGUUUCACAACUCUCUGGUCUCUCUCGCUGAUCAGAGACGAAGGAGAGAGAAUAAGGUUUGAAAGGGAGGCGGUUUUGCCCCGAAAUCCAUAAGACAUGAGACCCAAAUUCUCACUUCAUCGCUCACCGUUGGAUGGACUAAUGCCACGUGUCAGUAGCUAAAAACCUCUCCGCCUGUCUCAGCCACAGAUCGUUGUUUUCCCGACCGACAACUGGGUCAUCCUGGAGAAAACUUCCGUUUUUACUUCUUCGUCAGUUAGAAGUAGCGUAUUCCUUACGCAAGCACCAAAUCACUGCGGCAACAGCGCGCACCGUCAAACCUGAGGAGUGUGUGAAAGGAGGAGGGCAAAGAAAAAAAAUUCUAGGGUUGAGUUGCAGACGAACAUAACCACUGACUCUUCACAGGGCUCUCCAGAAAGAAAAAAGCCUCAAUACAAUCAGCCAAUUCAUUCCAGGCCUCUGCAUUGGAGCCAUUAGUUGGUAAUUCCUCAGCAAAAUCAGCAGUAACCUUGUCACUGACGCAGACUUCCUCUUCGGACCUGGGAGAUUUAUAGCAGACUGGGCUUAGGCUUUGGAUUCGAUAGAAGUGAGUUUUUGUUUUGAGAGGAACACUGAAUAACGGAAGCAGAGAUUAUCCCAAAACUCAGAUUCUCGAGGGCCGAAGAGCUGUUUUCAAGUCCAGUCAAAAGUGUUGGCACCCGUUACUUCUUGUUGAUGACGUGACGCUCCGUCUCUGACCCUAGGUCGGAGCAGCAGGUUGUGAAUCGCUCUCUGUCACUGUGCUGCUUUAGAGUGGAGACUGGAUCCGAACACUCAUCCAUCGAUAGACAAUAUCUAACGUUAUUCCAUUUAAGCUAGUACACAUAACAAAGUUAGAUAGGCUGAAAAUGCCUUCCAUGGCAAAUACAGGAACCAAAAAUUUCUCCAAAAACCAACAACUCAAUGGGAGGAUCGCUAAUAACGACAACAAGUCUGAAUCCUUCACAA